Molecule: ribosomal RNA, 275 nt
Filed under: uncultured bacterium
Lineage: Bacteria
Description: partial 16S ribosomal RNA
Rfam family: Bacterial small subunit ribosomal RNA
Source: RNAcentral
CCUACGGGUGGCUGCAGUAGGGAAUAUUGGGCAAUGGGCGAGAGCCUGACCCAGCCAUGCCGCGUGCAGGAAGAAGGAUCUCUGAUCUGUAAACUGCUUUAGCAGGGGAAGAAAAACCGGGGUGCGCCCCGGCCUGACGGUACCCUGAGAAUAAGCACCGGCUAACUCCGUGCCAGCAGCCGCGGUAAUACGGGGGGUGCGAGCGUUGUCCGGAUUUAUUGGGUUUAAAGGGUGCGCAGGCGGCCUUGUAAGUCAGUGUUUAAAGUCAGCCGCUU